Molecule: ribosomal RNA, 98 nt
Filed under: uncultured bacterium
Lineage: Bacteria
Description: partial 16S ribosomal RNA
Source: RNAcentral
AAGGUGCUUUGCAUUGUAAACCUCUGUAGUUGGGGACAAAUAUCCGCCUACCGGCGGAUUGAUGGUACCCAAAAAGUAAGGAUCGGCUAACUACGUGC